Sinocyclocheilus anshuiensis is the source of this 373-nucleotide long non-coding RNA. RefSeq lists it as uncharacterized. The transcript is spliced from 3 exons. Lineage: Eukaryota; Metazoa; Chordata; Actinopteri; Cypriniformes; Cyprinidae. The record is from RefSeq and is a predicted model, not a curated record.
GGGGGCGUGAUGCGGCUCAGAUUCCACCGUUACCAAGGAACAGCGACAAGAAGAACAGCGUUUGUGUCAGAAUGAGAGUGUGUGUGAGGAGAGGAGCUGCAUGAACACGCAAAUGUGUGUGACACAAAGAGGGACGGUUUAGCUGGUGGCGGAGCGGCGCAGACAUCAGUGGUGGUGUGUCUACGUGUGUGUGUGUGUGUGUGUGUGUGUGUGUGUGUGUGUGCGCGCGCGUGUGCGCAUCCAUGCAUUGACGGAUACAGUAUGAAUGAUUGAUGCUGUAGGCUAGAGUAAAGAAAUGGUCAGCAGUAACUAACAGGAUACUUUAAUAAGAGCUUCUGUUUUAUAUUUCAAUGAUGAAUUCACUUGAUUCAAU